This 490-nucleotide unclassified non-coding RNA is filed under the name Toxocara cati (cat roundworm). RNAcentral's name for it is "ITS1". Lineage: Eukaryota; Metazoa; Nematoda; Chromadorea; Rhabditida; Toxocaridae. The record is from RNAcentral.
AUCGAGCCAAGAAAAAAAAGUCUCCGAACGUGCAUAAGCACCAUUUGCACGUAUGCGUGAGCCGCGCAGCAAGCUGCACACAUGUGGUGCCGGUGUAGCCGUCAGCCGUGCUUUAUUGGCGGACAAUGGCCUGUGGCUUGGUGCGUGUUGAGGGGAAAUGGGUGACGUGCUGGGCAAGUUAGAAAGGCGCGCCGAUAGGGCCCAUUUUCUCGCUAUUCUCAACAACGGUAUCCAGUUUGGCGUCUCCGCCUCACCUAGCUAUCGCCUGGACCGUCGGUAGCUAUGAAAGGUGGGGAGAAAGCUCCUCGUUUCAGAGUUGAGUAGACUUAAUGAACAUUAGCCAGAAUGUCGCCAAAAACCAAAAACACAACAAUCAGUUACGUUCAUGUUGUUCAACUGUCGAGGAUGAGCGCGAUGUUCUCGUGCAGCGCAGCUUUUGUUGUUGUUGCAACUGAACAUGCUCCAGCCGACACACACAUACAAAUACAUA